RNAcentral lists this ribosomal RNA (380 nucleotides) under uncultured eukaryote. Its description in RNAcentral is "partial 18S ribosomal RNA". It matches the Rfam family "Eukaryotic small subunit ribosomal RNA", at positions 592 to 976 of the family's 1831-position model. The record is from RNAcentral.
CAAUAGCGUAUAUUAAAGUUGUUGCGGUUAAAAAGCUCGUAGUUGGAUUUCUGCCGAGGACGACCGGUCCGCCCUCUGGGUGUGUAUCUGGUUUGGCCUGGGCAUCUUCUUGGAGAACGUAGCUGCACUUGACUGUGUGGUGCGGUGUCCAGGACUUUUACUUUGAGGAAAUUAGAGUGUUUCAAGCAGGCACACGCCUUGAAUACAUUAGCAUGGAAUAAUAAGAUAGGACCUCGGUUCUAUUUUGUUGGUUUCUAGAGCUGAGGUAAUGAUUAAUAGGGAUAGUUGGGGGCAUUCGUAUUUAACUGUCAGAGGUGAAAUUCUUGGAUUUAUGAAAGAUGAACAACUGCGAAAGCAUUUACCAAGGAUGUUUUCAUUAA